This 253-nucleotide ribosomal RNA is filed under the name uncultured bacterium. RNAcentral describes it as "partial 16S ribosomal RNA". It matches the Rfam family "Bacterial small subunit ribosomal RNA", at positions 524 to 776 of the family's 1533-position model. The record is from RNAcentral.
UACGUAGGGUGCGAGCGUUAAUCGGAAUUACUGGGCGUAAAGCGUGCGCAGGCGGUUCGUUGUGUCGGCGGUGAAAGCCCCGGGCUUAACCUGGGAAUGGCCGUUGAAACUGGCGAACUGGAGUGUGGCAGAGGGGGGUGGAAUUCCGCGUGUAGCAGUGAAAUGCGUAGAGAUGCGGAGGAACACCGAUGGCGAAGGCAGCCCCCUGGGCUAACACUGACGCUCAGGCACGAAAGCGUGGGGAUCAAACAGG